UGCCGAGCCAAGGGGUGCCUGGUUAUGAUGGUUUAUUAUGCGUUAUACGGAUAAUAAACCAUCAAAACCGUGCUGAGACGAAAGAUUCGAACCCUUAGAACCUGAACCGGAUAGUACUGGCGUAGGAAUGGUUGAAAAAUAGCCU
RNAcentral lists this non-coding RNA (145 nucleotides) under Thalassomonas actiniarum. RNAcentral describes it as "TPP sequence". It matches the Rfam family "TPP riboswitch aptamer (THI element)". From Rfam's summary of the family: Vitamin B(1) in its active form thiamin pyrophosphate (TPP) is an essential coenzyme that is synthesised by coupling of pyrimidine and thiazole moieties in bacteria. The previously detected thiamin-regulatory element, thi box was extended, resulting in a new, highly conserved RNA secondary structure, the THI element, which is widely distributed in eubacteria and also occurs in some archaea. Lineage: Bacteria; Pseudomonadati; Pseudomonadota; Gammaproteobacteria; Alteromonadales; Colwelliaceae. The record is from Rfam by way of RNAcentral.